Thalassophryne amazonica is the source of this 103-nucleotide long non-coding RNA. RefSeq lists it as uncharacterized. The record is from RefSeq and is a predicted model, not a curated record. Lineage: Eukaryota; Metazoa; Chordata; Actinopteri; Batrachoidiformes; Batrachoididae. The transcript is spliced from 3 exons.
CUAAACACUGGGAGCAAACUUGGGAAUUAAGGACCUUGUCCAAGGGGCCUUGGUGAUUUUAGGGUCUGACUUGGAUUUGAUCCCAGGAUCAUCUGGUCACAAA